This is a long non-coding RNA of Maniola jurtina (meadow brown), 193 nucleotides long. RefSeq lists it as uncharacterized. The transcript is spliced from 3 exons. NCBI's taxonomy places the organism in Eukaryota, Metazoa, Arthropoda, Insecta, Lepidoptera, Nymphalidae. The record is from RefSeq and is a predicted model, not a curated record.
CAGGUGGUCCCAUGUAAAUUUCGUGAAUAUUUGAUGAAUAUCUUCGGAAAUGGAGAACAGAACUCCUCAAUGGAUAAUAGUAAAUUGCUCGUGAUCAAUGUAAUAGCUUAGUAAUCAGUAGGUUUUUAACCAGCCACAUCAUAUUAUAGUACAGUAGGGCCACUAAAAAUUGUGAAAUAAAAAAUUUUCAAAA